Molecule: ribosomal RNA, 253 nt
Filed under: uncultured bacterium
Lineage: Bacteria
Description: partial 16S ribosomal RNA
Rfam family: Bacterial small subunit ribosomal RNA
Source: RNAcentral
UACAGAGGGUGCGAGCGUUGUUCGGAAUUAUUGGGCGUAAAGGGUGCGUAGGCGGCCUGACAAGUCUGAUGUGAAAUCCCUGGGCUCAACCCAGGGCCUGCAUCGGAAACUGUCGGGCUUGAGUAUGGGAGAGGUGAGUGGAAUUUCCGGUGUAGCGGUGAAAUGCGUAGAUAUCGGAAGGAACACCUGUGGCGAAAGCGGCUCACUGGACCAUUACUGACGCUGAGGCACGAAAGCUAGGGGAGCAAACAGG